Molecule: non-coding RNA, 71 nt
Organism: Ancylostoma duodenale
Lineage: Eukaryota; Metazoa; Nematoda; Chromadorea; Rhabditida; Ancylostomatidae
Source: Rfam
GCAACGAUGGUUCAGUGAUAAACUGCUCGCUUGCUACGCGGGCGGCCCAGGUUCGAUUCCCAGCCGAUGCA